UGGGGAAUAUUGGACAAUGGAGGAAACUCUGAUCCAGCAAUUCUGUGUGUGUGAAGAAGGUUUUAGGACUGUAAAACACUUUUAGUAGGGAAGAAAAAAAUGACGGUCCCUACAGAAGAAGCAACGGCUAAAUACGUGCCAGCAGCCGCGGUAAUACGUAUGUUGCGAGCGUUAUCCGGAAUUAUUGGGCUUAAAGGGCAUCUAGGCGGUAAGACAAGUUGAAGGUGAAAACCUGUGGCUCAACCAUAGGCUUGCCUACAAAACUGUUGAACUAUAGUACUGGAAAGGUGGGUGGAACUACACGAGUAGAGGUGAAAUUCGUAGAUAUGUGUAGGAAUGCCGAUGAUGAAGAUAACUCACUGGACAGAAACUGACGCUGAAGUGCGAAAGCUAGGGGAGCAAACAGG
Molecule: ribosomal RNA, 407 nt
Filed under: Verrucomicrobiota bacterium
Lineage: Bacteria; Pseudomonadati; Verrucomicrobiota
Description: Verrucomicrobia bacterium partial 16S ribosomal RNA
Rfam family: Bacterial small subunit ribosomal RNA
Source: RNAcentral